RNAcentral lists this ribosomal RNA (460 nucleotides) under Thricops cunctans. Its description in RNAcentral is "partial 16S ribosomal RNA". The stretch from base 343 to 460 matches the Rfam family "Bacterial large subunit ribosomal RNA", at positions 2473 to 2590 of the family's 2925-position model. The record is from RNAcentral. Lineage: Eukaryota; Metazoa; Arthropoda; Insecta; Diptera; Muscidae.
UUUAAAUGGCCGCAGUAUAUUAACUGUGCAAAGGUAGCAUAAUCAUUAGUCUUUUAAUUGAAGGCUUGUAUGAAUGGUUGGACGAAAUAUUAACUGUUUCAUAUAAAUUUAUAUUAGAAUUUUAUUUUUUAGUUAAAAAGCUAAAAUUUUAUUAAAAGACGAGAAGACCCUAUAAAUCUUUAUAUUUAAAUUAUUAAAUUAAAUUUUGAUUUAAUUCAUUUUAAUAAUUAAUGAUAUUUUAUUGGGGUGAUAUUAAAAUUUAAUAAACUUUUAUUUUUAGAAAUCAUUAAUUAAUGAAUAAUUGAUCCAUUAUUAGUGAUUAAAAAUUUAAGUUACUUUAGGGAUAACAGCGUAAUUUUUUUGGAGAGUUCAUAUCGAUAAAAAAGAUUGCGACCUCGAUGUUGGAUUAAGAAAUAAUUUUAGGUGUAGUUGCUUAAAUUUUAAGUCUGUUCGACUUUUA